This 360-nucleotide unclassified non-coding RNA is filed under the name soil metagenome. Its description in RNAcentral is "partial contains 5.8S ribosomal RNA, internal transcribed spacer 2, and large subunit ribosomal RNA". The stretch from base 1 to 120 matches the Rfam family "5.8S ribosomal RNA", at positions 35 to 154 of the family's 154-position model. The record is from RNAcentral.
GAUGAAGAACGCAGCGAAAUGCGAUAAGUAGUGUGAAUUGCAGAAUUCAGUGAAUCAUCGAAUUUUUGAACGCAUAUUGCGCCUUUCGGUAUUCGGGAAGGCAUGCCUGUUCGAGCGUCAUAAUGACCUAUCAAUCAUGAAUUUAUUCAUGCUUGGUAUUGGGCGAGGAUCGAGCUUUGCUCAUUCCUGUCUGAAAUUCAAUGGCGAAGUCAUAUGUUCCAUUCAGUAUAGUAAUCAACGUUAUGUUUCACUGCUGGACAUGAUCGGCUUCUGUCACAAAUUGACUCCCCCAUUCUAAAAAUUUGACCUCGGAUCAGGUAGGGAUACCCGCUGAACUUAAGCAUAUCAAUAAGCGGAGGA